This 443-nucleotide ribosomal RNA is filed under the name uncultured bacterium. RNAcentral's name for it is "partial 16S ribosomal RNA". It matches the Rfam family "Bacterial small subunit ribosomal RNA", at positions 338 to 795 of the family's 1533-position model. The record is from RNAcentral.
CCUACGGGAGGCAGCAGUGGGGAAUAUUGGGCAAUGGAGGAAACUCUGACGCAGCAACGCCGCGUGAAUGAUGAAGGUCUUCGGAUUGUAAAGUUCUUUUCUAAGGGAAGAAGAAAGUGACGGUACCUUAGGAAUAAGCCUCGGCUAACUACGUGCCAGCAGCCGCGGUAAUACGUAGGAGGCGAGCGUUAUCCGGAAUGACUGGGCGUAAAGGGUGCGUAGGUGGUUUGGUAAGUUAGUAGCGUAACUCCUGGGCUCAACCUUAGAACUGCUACUAAAACUGUUGGACUUGAGUGCAGGAGGGGCAACCGGAAUUCCUAGUGUAGCGGUGGAAUGCGUAGAUAUUAGGAGGAACACCAGUGGCGAAGGCGGGUUGCUAGACUGUAACUGACACUGAGGCACGAAAGCGUGGGGAGCAAACAGGAUUAGAUACCCCUGUAGUC